RNAcentral lists this ribosomal RNA (497 nucleotides) under uncultured bacterium. RNAcentral describes it as "partial 16S ribosomal RNA". It matches the Rfam family "Bacterial small subunit ribosomal RNA", at positions 28 to 507 of the family's 1533-position model. The record is from RNAcentral.
GAUGAACGCUGGCGGCGUGCCUAAUACAUGCAAGUCGAGCGAACGGACGAGAAGCUUGCUUCUCUGAUGUUAGCGGCGGACGGGUGAGUAGCACGUGGAUAACCUACCUAUAAGACUGGGAUAACUUCGGGAAACCGGAGAUAAUACCGGAUGAUAUUUUGAACCGCAUGGUUCAAAAGUGAAAGAAGGUCUUGCUGUCAAUUAUAGAUGGAUCCGCGCUGCAUUAGCUAGUUGGUAAGGUAACGGCUUACCAAGGCAACGAUGCGUAGCCGACCUGAGAGGGUGAGAGGCCACACUGGAACUGAGACACGGUCCAGACUCCUACGGGAGGCAGCAGUAGGGAAUCUUCCGCAAUGGGCGAAAGCCGGACGGAGCAACGCCGCGUGAGUGAUGAAGGUCUUCGGAUCGUAAAACUCUGUUAUUAGGGAAGAACAUAUGUGUAAGUAACUGUGCACAUCUUGACGGUACCUAAUCAGAAAGCCACGGCUAACUACGUG